GACAAUGGUGGCUCUGAUUCAGAGGUCGUAACACCGACCAAUGAAUUAGUGCUAACAAGCCCUGGAAUUACUCUCCCUAAUUAGUGAAUAACCCUCGAAUAUAUAGAAAGACACAAAACAGAAACGCCGAAACGCGCGUCGAGCUUAUUUUUAUUUAUUUGCUUUACACUUUUUGGUAGCACUGACGGAUUGAUUUAUUUAAUGUUAUUUUAGUAUUUUUUUUGAAAGGCAGGGACUGAGGCUUUGGUAGGCACUUGUGAUUCUUCACAGUGCCGAGGUAAUUAGGGACAGAAGACUUCUUACAGGGGUUACUGUCUGGGCACUCCCUUUAUAUUGCCCCUCUUUUUUCAGUUACCUCUAUUUACCUAGGCUCCUUUUUGGAGAUUUAAAAUGUGUAGCAUUUGAACCCUAAGAUUAAAAAUUUGUUCAGCAGCCUUUUUAGUUAGUAACUGGUUCCCGGUGUCUAUUCUGGAUGGUCUAUUAUUAUCAAACUUCUCUCCACCUGUCCUGUUUUGUGUUCCCUUAGGAUUAUUAAAAGGUAGGGAUUCCCAUUUUUUCUUCUCUUAUUACUCUCCUACCCAGGACUUUUUCAGUCCUAUUUUCUGUUUUGUGUUUUUCUAUAUAUA
Non-coding RNA from Pelobates cultripes (western spadefoot toad), 626 nucleotides. The record is from the annotation of a GenBank genome assembly. Lineage: Eukaryota; Metazoa; Chordata; Amphibia; Anura; Pelobatidae.